AACGAACGCUGGCGGCAGGCUUAACACAUGCAAGUCGAACGCACCUUUCGGGGUGAGUGGCAGACGGGUGAGUAACGCGUGGGAAUCUACCCUUCUCUACGGGAUAGCUCCGGGAAACUGGAAUUAAUACCGUAUACGUCCUGAGGGAGAAAGAUUUAUCGGGGAAGGAUGAGCCCGCGUUGGAUUAGCUAGUUGGUGGGGUAAAGGCCUACCAAGGGGACGAUCCAUAGCUGGUCUAAGAGGAUGAUCAGCCACAUUGGGACUGAGACACGGCCCAAACUCCUACGGGAGGCAGCAGUGGGGAAUAUUGGACAAUGGGCGCAAGCCUGAUCCAGCCAUGCCGCGUGAGUGAUGAAGGCCCUAGGGUUGUAAAGCUCUUUCAGUGGGGACGAUAAUGACGGUACCCACAGAAGAAGCCCCGGCUAACUUCGUG
Molecule: ribosomal RNA, 433 nt
Filed under: uncultured bacterium
Lineage: Bacteria
Description: partial 16S ribosomal RNA
Rfam family: Bacterial small subunit ribosomal RNA
Source: RNAcentral